RNAcentral lists this transfer RNA (72 nucleotides) under Phrynosoma platyrhinos (Desert horned lizard). RNAcentral's name for it is "tRNA-OTHER". The record is from RNAcentral. Lineage: Eukaryota; Metazoa; Chordata; Lepidosauria; Squamata; Phrynosomatidae.
GCCAGUGUGGCGUAGUGGUCUGAGUGUUGGACUAUGACUCUGUAGACCAGAGUUCAAUUCCCAGCUCUUCCA